AUUAAAUUCAAGAGUACCCCCAGUUCGUAUGAAGGCUCGCAAAAUUGCAUUAGCUCUCAGACCAAAAAUAGAUGCUGAGAUUACAUGUCUUGUGGAACAAGGUAUACUUGAACCCGUGUACACCCAUAGUUCCGGACAUUAAACCAAAUGGGGAUAUCAGAAUAUGUACUGACUACAAAUGUACAAUCAACAAAGCGUUGCAAGAGCAUCCCUAUCAAAUUCCAGCUGUUAAUCAAAUUCUUACUACUUUGGCAAAAGGAAAAGUAUUUGCCAAGUUGGAUAUGGCUCAAGCCUACCAGCAGUUACCUGUGGAUGAUGAGGCUGCUG
This is a non-coding RNA of Pelobates cultripes (western spadefoot toad), 327 nucleotides long. Lineage: Eukaryota; Metazoa; Chordata; Amphibia; Anura; Pelobatidae. The record is from the annotation of a GenBank genome assembly.